RNAcentral lists this ribosomal RNA (459 nucleotides) under uncultured Serratia sp. RNAcentral's name for it is "bacterial SSU rRNA". It matches the Rfam family "Bacterial small subunit ribosomal RNA", at positions 36 to 498 of the family's 1533-position model. The record is from RNAcentral. Lineage: Bacteria; Pseudomonadati; Pseudomonadota; Gammaproteobacteria; Enterobacterales; Yersiniaceae.
UGAAUUGGCGGCAGCUACACAUGCAGUCGAGCGGUAGCACAAGAGAGCUUGCUCUCUGGGUGACGAGCGGCGGACGGGUGAGUAAUGUCUGGGAAACUGCCUGAUGGCGGGGGAUAACUAGUGGAAACGGUAGCUAAUACCGCAUAACGUCGCAAGACCAAAGUGGGGGACCUUCGGGCCUCACGCCAUCAGAUGUGCCCAGGUGGGAUUAGCUGGUAGGUGGGGUAACGGCUCACCUAGGCGACGAUCCCUAGCUGGUCUGAGAGGAUGACCAGCCACACUGGAACUGAGACACGGUCCAGACUCCUACGGGAGGCAGCAGUGGGGAAUAUUGCACAAUGGGCGCAAGCCUGAUGCAGCCAUGCCGCGUGUGUGAAGAAGGCCUUCGGGUUGUAAAGCACUUUCAGCGAGGAGGAAGGGUAAUGUGUUAUAAGAACAUUGCAAAAGGGAGGCGGGGGG